Molecule: long non-coding RNA, 248 nt
Filed under: Coturnix japonica (Japanese quail)
Lineage: Eukaryota; Metazoa; Chordata; Aves; Galliformes; Phasianidae
Description: lncRNA (ENSCJPG00005011791.1)
Source: RNAcentral
AGCCAUUACCAUAAUUUCACCAGAGAAUUAAUGUGCUGAGAUUCUUUGGACCCUGGAGACAAUUUCUUCAAUCUACAGUAGUGAUGAAUGAAGAAAUCGCAAGGGAGAUAUCUACUGUGCUACUGCAUCUACUGUUUCUCAAGACAUUUCAGUGUCUUGGAAAGGAAGACUGCCCCUGUGGUGAAAAGAGGAACCAGGUGACAAACCUGUACAGCCAAGGUUUUAUAAAGGGAGUUGAAUUGCAGUAG